UUACCUACCCUUGACAUGUCCUGAAGCCUGGAGAGAUCCGGGUGUGCCCGAAAGGGAACGGGAACACAGGUGCUGCAUGGCUGUCGUCAGCUCGUGUCGUGAGAUGUUGGUUAAGUCCCGCAACGAGCGCAACCCUUGUCAUUAGUUGCUACCGCAAGGAGCACUCUAAUGAGACUGCCGGUGACAAACCGGAGGAAGGUGGGGAUGACGUCAAGUCCUCAUGGCCCUUAUGGGUAGGGCUUCACACGUAAUACAAUGGUCGGUACAGAGGGUUGCCAAGCCGCGAGGUGGAGCCAAUCCCAGAAAGCCGAUCGUAGUCCGGAUCGCAGUCUGCAACUCGACUGCGUGAAGUCGGAAUCGCUAGUAAUCGCGGAUCAGCAUGUCGCGGUGAAUACGUUCCCGGGUCUUGUACACACCGCCCGUCACACCAUGGGAGCGGGUUUCACCAGAAGCCGGUCGCCUAACCGCAAGGGGGGCGCCGACCACGGUGAGAUUCGUGACUGGGGUGAAGUCGUAACAAGGUA
This 524-nucleotide ribosomal RNA is filed under the name uncultured bacterium. RNAcentral's name for it is "bacterial SSU rRNA". It matches the Rfam family "Bacterial small subunit ribosomal RNA", at positions 971 to 1498 of the family's 1533-position model. The record is from RNAcentral.